This 1611-nucleotide unclassified non-coding RNA is filed under the name Bombus terrestris (buff-tailed bumblebee). RNAcentral describes it as "misc RNA ENSBTSG00005028099.1". Lineage: Eukaryota; Metazoa; Arthropoda; Insecta; Hymenoptera; Apidae. The record is from RNAcentral.
GAAAAUAACGAACUCUAUGAGUCUCAUAAUAACAUUUCAUACACUAAAAUGUAAUAAUAGCUGCUCUCAUGUGAUCGCAUUUUUUUAACACUAAUUUUAAUUAAUAAUCAAUAUAUGUCUCUAUAUAUUCAAUAGCUAUUUCAUAUAUUAAAUUAUAUUCUAUAUUGAUUGGAUUAUAAUAAAAUUACAAAAAAUAAAGUAAACAUUAAUAAGAAUAAAAAGAACUUUCAUUUUCAGCUAAAGCACAUUUCACAUACAAAAAGCAACAAUUAGAGGCCAUGUGACAUUUUUCGUUUUAAACUACCAUAGUGCAUGUACAAUGUUCUUUUUUAUAUUCUAAUAGUAGUAGUAGUAGUAGCAGUAGCAGUAGCAGUAGUGGUAGUGGUAGUAGUAGUAGUAGAAGUAGUAGUAGUAGUAGUGUAGUAGUAGUAGUAGUAGUAGUAGUAGUAGUAGUAGUAGUAGUAGUAGUAGUAAUAAUAAUAAUAAUAAUAAUAAUAAUAAUAAUAAUAAUAAUAAUAAUAAUAAUAAUAAUAAUAAUAAUAAUAAUAAUAAUAAUAAUAAUAAUAUCUUUCAUAUACUUUUGUUAUUCGUGUAUCAUUAAUGAAAGUGCACGUGCACAAUAAUUGUAGAUAGUCACUGAUUCUUUAUAUUUGGCCCUCUGUCGGCAGAGUAAAAAUUUAUUGCAUCUAAAGGUUCUUAGAACAAUUUUUUUCUCAUUUUUCAAUUAAAGUUAGUUUCAGUCCCGGCCAGAUUGCGACACUAUGCUCAAUGUGAGUCCUUCCGUUUUCAAGAUUGCAUAUAAGUAACACCUGUAUGUGCCGUGUAUUAACUAAUUUUCGGGUAAUACGAAUUAAUUAUUGAUACUGAUUAUCUUCAUUUGAAAGACGUGAAUCCUAUAUGCAGCCUUAAAAGUGCUUCAUACUUCCUUUUUUUGUGAUACGCAUACUUAGAACAAUAUAAACAUAACUCGUAUACCCUGUAAUGGUCAGGAAGUGUCAAUUUCCAAUCUGGCCAUGUCAAAUGUUACGAUCGAUGCUAGAAUACUUUCUACUAUAUUAUGUCCAUAAAUAGCUUGCACGCUAUGAGACACCUCUAUCGUCUUUGGGUUUUAUAAUUAGUCAAAGAUCUUCUCAACAAAUUCAGUAAUUAUAAAUAAUUUUCGAUCGACUAACAAAUUGUACUUUGGAACACACGCAAUCACGUAGAUGAAAUAAUCAUCGCAGAUCAACGUUUCUCAAAAAUAUUAAAAAUUGCUGAAACACUCGAGUAACACAUAUCUAGAUGUGUGUUAAAUAUCCAUGAGGAAUUACUUUUUAAAUGACACGAAUGUACAAACGUUGUGCAUGACUUAUAUAGCCUUUACUCGGCUCGACAUAGAAACAUUUAUACUUAUCUUUCUAUGUGAACUAUAAAACCCAAAACCAAAAUCUAAUUGGCAGUAUAGUGUUGGACGUUGCGCCCAGCGCAAGGUGCAUAGCAGAGAUGCUGCAGCUAGUAAGGAUUGGAUACCUUACUUCUGACAAAAAAACAAUGUUUAUGCGGUUUGAAUAAGAUAAUACCAGAGGUUACACGUAUGUGGCCAUAGUGCCGCUUGGAAUGGGCGGUGUUUCU